RNAcentral lists this ribosomal RNA (497 nucleotides) under uncultured bacterium. RNAcentral describes it as "partial 16S ribosomal RNA". It matches the Rfam family "Bacterial small subunit ribosomal RNA", at positions 28 to 507 of the family's 1533-position model. The record is from RNAcentral.
GAUGAACGCUGGCGGCGUGCCUAAUACAUGCAAGUCGAGCGAACGGACGAGAAGCUUGCUUCUCUGAUGUUAGCGGCGGACGGGUGAGUAACACGUGGAUAACCUACCUAUAAGACUGGGAUAACUUCGGGAAACCGGAGCUAAUACCGGCUGAUAUUUUGAACCGCAUGGUUCAAAAGUGAAAGACGGUCUUGCUGUCACUUAUAGAUGGAUCCGCGCUGCAUUAGCUAGUUGGUAAGGUAACGGCUUACCAAGGCAGCGAUGCAUAGCCGACCUGAGAGGGUGAUCGGCCACACUGGAACUGAGACACGGUCCAGACUCCUACGGGAGGCAGCAGUAGGGAAUCUUCCGCAAUGGGCGAAAGCCUGACGGAGCAACGCCGCGUGAGUGAUGAAGGUCUUCGGAUCGUAAAACUCUGUUAUUAGGGAAGAACAUAUGUGUAAGUAACUGUGCACAUCUUGACGGUACCUAAUCAGAAAGCCACGGCUAACUACGUG